UAAAUUCAAAAUAAAUUAUUGCCAUUCAUUAUAAAUAAAUUUCUACCAAAAAUAAGACUCAAAGAACUUUUUAUUAUUAUUCAUAUUAACAAUAACAACGUACGUACACACAUGUUGGCGUAUGAAUACACAACGUCAGAGUGGGCGUAUCGCCAUAAAAAUUGACAACAUUGAAAAUAAAACUAAUACUUUUAACCAAUCAGAAGACAGUAAAUACUACAAAUUUAUUUAUUAAGACAUGUUCCAAAAAUAAUCAGUUAUUGAUUAAAAAAAAUCCGCAACUUAUAUACGAAUAAUAAACAAAUCUGAGAAUGUAUUUUUGUAGUUAUAAUGACGAUGUGCACAGAAC
This 349-nucleotide long non-coding RNA is filed under the name Mytilus galloprovincialis (Mediterranean mussel). Lineage: Eukaryota; Metazoa; Mollusca; Bivalvia; Mytilida; Mytilidae. The record is from RNAcentral.